RNAcentral lists this ribosomal RNA (387 nucleotides) under uncultured bacterium. RNAcentral describes it as "bacterial SSU rRNA". It matches the Rfam family "Bacterial small subunit ribosomal RNA", at positions 28 to 414 of the family's 1533-position model. The record is from RNAcentral.
GACGAACGCUGGCGGCGUGCUUAACACAUGCAAGUCGAGCGGUAAGGCCCCUUCGGGGGUACGACGAGCGGCGAACGGGUGAGUAACACGUGGGUGACCUGCCCUCAGCUCUGGGAUAAGCCUGGGAAACUGGGUCUAAUACCGGAUAUGACUCCAUGACGCAUGUCGUGGGGUGGAAAGCCUUGUGCGGCUGGGGAGUGGGCCCGCGGCCUAUCAGCUUGUUGGUGGGGUGAUGGCCUACCAAGGCGACGACGGGUAGCCGGCCUGAGAGGGCGACCGGCCACACUGGGACUGAGACACGGCCCAGACUCCUACGGGAGGCAGCAGUGGGGAAUCCUGCGCAAUGGGCGAAAGCCUGACGCAGCGACGCCGCGUGAGGGAUGACGG